RNAcentral lists this ribosomal RNA (227 nucleotides) under uncultured bacterium. RNAcentral's name for it is "partial 16S ribosomal RNA". It matches the Rfam family "Bacterial small subunit ribosomal RNA", at positions 15 to 235 of the family's 1533-position model. The record is from RNAcentral.
GAUCAUGGCUCAGGAUGAACGCUAGCUACAGGCUUAACACAUGCAAGUCGAGGGGCAGCAUGGCGAUGGCUUGCUAUUGUUGAUGGCGACCGGCGCACGGGUGAGUAACGCGUAUCCAACCUGCCCUUGUCCAUCGGAUAACCCGUCGAAAGGCGGCCUAACACGAUAUGCAGUUCUCAGCAGGCAUCUAACGAGAACGAAAUGUAAAGGAGAAGGAUGGGGAUGCG